Long non-coding RNA from Lagopus leucura (white-tailed ptarmigan), 313 nucleotides. RefSeq lists it as uncharacterized. The record is from RefSeq and is a predicted model, not a curated record. The transcript is spliced from 3 exons. Lineage: Eukaryota; Metazoa; Chordata; Aves; Galliformes; Phasianidae.
UCAGAAGUGAUUGCUUACCGAAUCAGUCAAAAUACACAUGAGGAAGCACUGCUUUUGCACUGCUAAUGAUGAAUAGAACAUGCUAUAUGCUUUACCACUCUGUACAAGAGACUGCUCUGCCAGCUUAAUGCCUCAAAGACAAGAAAAUCUGAACACUUUGAGCCCCGACGGCAUCCUCAGGCCAGGUGUUCAACAGCUCCAACUCCUGCUCUGUGAAGAACACCUUCUUCCUCUCAACUAUUCUGAUUUUUAUUUUACCUCUCUUUUCUUUCUUCAGAUAACACGCAUGCAGCAAAUGGAGACAGAUGCCUGC